CAAUAGCGUAUAUUAAAGUUGUUGCAGUUAAAAAGCUCGUAGUUGGAUUUCGGGAUGGCCCGGCCGGUCUGCCGCAAGGUAUGUUACUGGCCGAGCUGUUCUUCUUCGCAAAGACUGUGUGUGCUCUUAACUGAGUGUGCUCAGGAUCUGUGACGUUUACUUUGAAAAAAUUAGAGUGUUCAAAGCAAGCCAGCGCUUGAAUACAUAAGAAUGGAAUAAUGGAAUAGGACUUUGGUUCUAUUUUGUUGGUUUCUGGAACCUUAGUAAUGAUUAAGAGAGACAGUUGGGGGCAUUCGUAUUUCGUUGUCAGAGGUGAAAUUCUUGGAUUUACGAAAGACGAACUACUGCGAAAGCAUUUGCCAAGAAUGUUUUCAUUAA
RNAcentral lists this ribosomal RNA (378 nucleotides) under uncultured eukaryote. RNAcentral's name for it is "partial 18S ribosomal RNA". It matches the Rfam family "Eukaryotic small subunit ribosomal RNA", at positions 592 to 976 of the family's 1831-position model. The record is from RNAcentral.